ACAAAGGUCAGCUAAUUAUGCUAAAGUAGGUAUACAUUCACUAAUGUAGCACUUUUGCAAAAACAAUGUUAGGUCCGGUAUUCACAGAUUUCAAGGACUGAUAUGUGUUUCACCAAAUUGAUGCUAAAAGAAGAUGGCUUGGCACUGAGAAGAACAAGAAAAAAAAAAAAAAUCAAAUGAGAGUUCGUGGACUGAGAAGAUAUUCUUGGUCAGAAAAGUUUGGUAAUCUAUCAUUUGCGCAUAAAUGGAGUGUAAUUCCAUGAAAAAC
This 268-nucleotide long non-coding RNA is filed under the name Capsella rubella. Its description in RNAcentral is "long non-coding RNA (CRUB_LNC003414)". Lineage: Eukaryota; Viridiplantae; Streptophyta; Magnoliopsida; Brassicales; Brassicaceae. The record is from RNAcentral.